UAGAUGGCGACCGGCGCACGGGUGAGUAACACGUAUCCAACCUGCCGAUAACUCGGGGAUAGCCUUUCGAAAGAAAGAUUAAUACCCGAUGGUAUAAUCAGACCGCAUGGUCUUGUUAUUAAAGAAUUUCGGUUAUCGAUGGGGAUGCGUUCCAUUAGGUUGUUGGUGAGGUAACGGCUCACCAAGCCUUCGAUGGAUAGGGGUUCUGAGAGGAAGGUCCCCCACAUUGGAACUGAGACACGGUCCAA
RNAcentral lists this ribosomal RNA (248 nucleotides) under uncultured bacterium. Its description in RNAcentral is "partial 16S ribosomal RNA". It matches the Rfam family "Bacterial small subunit ribosomal RNA", at positions 85 to 334 of the family's 1533-position model. The record is from RNAcentral.